This is a long non-coding RNA of Acanthochromis polyacanthus (spiny chromis), 227 nucleotides long. RefSeq lists it as uncharacterized. Lineage: Eukaryota; Metazoa; Chordata; Actinopteri; Pomacentridae. The record is from RefSeq and is a predicted model, not a curated record. The transcript has 3 exons.
GGAGACAGGAGGAGGAGGCAGAGGAGGAGACAGGAGGAGGAGACAGAGGAGGAGACAGAGGAGGAGACAGAGGAGGAGUCAGAGGAGACAGGAGGAGGAGUCAGAGGAGGAGUCAGAGGAGACAGGAGGAGGAGGCAGAGGAGGAGACAGAGGAGGAGACAGAGGAGGAGUCAGAGGAGGAGUCAGAGGAGGAGUCAGAGGAGGAGACAGAGGAGGAGGCAGAGGAG